CCUACGGGUGGCAACAGUGAGGAAUAUUGGUCAAUGGACGAGAGUCUGAACCAGCAAAGUAGCGUGAAGGAUGACUGCCCUAUGGGUUGUAAACUUCUUUUAUAUGGGAAUAAAAUGUUCCACGUGUGGGAUUUUGUAUGUACAAUAUGAAUAAGGAUCGGCUAACUCCGUGCCAGCAGCCGCGGUAAUACGGAGGAUCCGAGCGUUAUACGGAUUUAUUGGGUUUAAAGGGAGCGUAGGUGGAUUUUUAAGUCAGUUGUGAAAGUUUGCGGCUCAACCGUAAAAUUGCAGUUGAAACUGGCAGUCUUGAGUACAGUAGAGGUGGGCGGAAUUCGUGGUGUAGCGGUGAAAUUCUUAGAUAUCACGAAGAACUCCGAUUGCGAAGGCAGUUCACUGGACUGCAACUGACACUGAUGCUCGAAAGUGUGGGUAUCAAACAGGAUUAGAUACCCCGGUAGUC
This 460-nucleotide ribosomal RNA is filed under the name uncultured bacterium. RNAcentral's name for it is "partial 16S ribosomal RNA". It matches the Rfam family "Bacterial small subunit ribosomal RNA", at positions 338 to 795 of the family's 1533-position model. The record is from RNAcentral.